UGUGGUGAACGGUGCUGCCGAGACAUGGUGGCUGUGGUGAACAAUGCUGCUGCAGACAUGGUGGCUGUGGUGAACGGUGCCGAGACAUGGUGGCUGUGGUGAACGGUGCUGCCGAGACAUGGUGGCUGUGGUGGACGGUGCUGCUGAGACAUGGUGGCCGUGGUGGAUGGUGCUGAGACAUGGUGGCUGUGGUGAACGGUGCUGCCGAGACAUGGUGGCUGUGGUGGACGGUGCUGCUGAGACAUGGUGGCUGUGGUGAACGGUGCCGAGACAUGGUGGCUGUGGUGGACGGUGCCGAGACAUGGUGGCUGUGGUGAAUGGUGCCGAGACAUGGUGGCUGUGGUGGACGGUGCUGCCGAGACAUGGUGGCUGUGGUGGACGGUGCUGCUGAGACAUGGUGGCUGUGGUGAACGGUGUCGAGACAUGGUGGCUGUGGUGGACGGUGCUGCUGAGACAUGGUGGCUGUGGUGAACGGUGCCGAGACAUGGUGGCUGUGGUGAACAGUGCCAAGACAUGGUGGCUGUGGUGGACGGUGCUGCUGAGACAUGGUGGCUGUGGUGAACGGUGCCGAGACAUGGUGGCUGUGGUGGACGGUGCUGCUGAGACAUGGUGGCUGUGGUGAAUGGUGCUGCUAAUGUGUCUAGAAUUGGUGGAUUCUUGGUCUCACUGACUUCAAGAAUGAAGCCGCAGACCCUCGCAGUGAGUGUUACAGUUCUUAAAGAUGGUGUGUCCGGAGUUUGUUCCUUCUGAUGUUCAGAUGUGU
RNAcentral lists this long non-coding RNA (763 nucleotides) under Homo sapiens (human). Its description in RNAcentral is "non-protein coding lnc-RNF223-4:3". The record is from RNAcentral. Lineage: Eukaryota; Metazoa; Chordata; Mammalia; Primates; Hominidae.